Non-coding RNA from Megalopta genalis, 656 nucleotides. Lineage: Eukaryota; Metazoa; Arthropoda; Insecta; Hymenoptera; Halictidae. The record is from RefSeq and is a predicted model, not a curated record.
GCAAUUUUAGUGAAAUUUAUACGAUUCGUCGUACAGUACUGCGACGAUUGUUUAAUUCUUUCUUUAAAAAGCGUAAAGCUCGAUCUACAUGAAGCAAAACUGUAACCCAUUACUUUCGAUUGGUACUGUUUCGGUCACCGACAAGUACAGAGAACAGUCAGAGAUCAGAGUCGAGCGUUUCACCGAGUUCUACUGUUUUGUUAUUCGUUUGAACGUUAGAACUACCAAGCUCCAAAAGCUGUUUUCUAUUUCCUUUUGAAAAUAACAGGACUGGACAGGGUUGCCAAAGUCUGUCCGGUAGUUCCAGCGUUUUGAACGUUGCCCAACUCUGAUUCGUCUCGUCGACUGAACCGACACUAUUAUGUAUUUGUCGGUGUACGUUUCACGGGAUACAAUCAAUCGAAGUAUUGUGAACCAAAACGGACAAACGAAAUUAAUUAAUGAAAUCUUUAGAGAACGAAACAAAAAACUAGUCGAAAAUAGAAGAAAGCGAGCGAAAAGAUACGUACUACUCGGGUGGGUUUUGCGCUGUCGGCGGAGCUUGAGCAGCAGCUUGAAAACUCCUGCGGCGUGCUUUCCCCGAGGCCGCUGUCCACGUUACUGCCUAUCAAUAUUCUGUUGUUACGAGUAUAAUAAAAGUCCUUCCUCACAUUGCA